GAACGCUAGCGGCAGGCUUAACACAUGCAAGUCGAGGGGCAGCAUGAGACGGAGAUUCGUCGAAGUCUUGAUGGCGACCGGCGCAAGGGUGCGUAACGCGUGAGCAACUUGCCCGUUUCUGGGGAAUAACCGGUGGAAACGCCGACUAAUACCCCAUAGUAUUGAGUUUAGGCAUCUUUACUCAAUUAAAGAAUUUCGGAAACGGAUAGGCUCGCGUGACAUUAGCUAGAUGGCGGGGUAACGGCCCACCAUGGCGACGAUGUCUAGGGGUUCUGAGAGGAAGGUCCCCCACACUGGAACUGAGACACGGUCCAGACUCCUACGGGAGGCAGCAGUGAGGAAUAUUGGUCAAUGGUCUGACGACUGAACCAGCCAUGCCGCGUGAAGGUCACGGCCCUAUGGGUCUUAAACUUCUUUUGUAAGGGAGCAAUAAGUCUCACGUGUGGGAUGAUGAGAGUACCUUACGAAUAAGCAUCGGCUAACUCCGUG
Molecule: ribosomal RNA, 489 nt
Filed under: uncultured bacterium
Lineage: Bacteria
Description: bacterial SSU rRNA
Rfam family: Bacterial small subunit ribosomal RNA
Source: RNAcentral